Molecule: transfer RNA, 82 nt
Filed under: Dethiosulfatibacter aminovorans DSM 17477
Lineage: Bacteria; Bacillati; Bacillota; Tissierellia
Rfam family: tRNA
About the family: Transfer RNA (tRNA) molecules are approximately 80 nucleotides in length. Their secondary structure includes four short double-helical elements and three loops (D, anti-codon, and T loops).
Source: Rfam by way of RNAcentral
GCGGAUGUGGUGGAACGGCAGACACGCUGUCUUGAGGGGGCAGUGCCCAAUGGGUGUGGGGGUUCAAAUCCCCCCGUCCGCA